RNAcentral lists this ribosomal RNA (450 nucleotides) under uncultured bacterium. Its description in RNAcentral is "partial 16S ribosomal RNA". It matches the Rfam family "Bacterial small subunit ribosomal RNA", at positions 354 to 796 of the family's 1533-position model. The record is from RNAcentral.
GUGAGGAAUUUUGCGCAAUGGCCGCAAGGCUGACGCAGCAACGCCGCGUGGGUGAUGAAGGCCUUCGGGUCGUAAAGCCCUGUCAGGUGGGAAGAAAGGCCUGGAGAGGAAAGGUUUCAGGUUUGACGGUACCACCAGAGGAAGCACCGGCUAACUCCGUGCCAGCAGCCGCGGUAAUACGGAGGGUGCGAGCGUUAUUCGGAAUUACUGGGCGUAAAGCGCGUGUAGGCGGGGGGACAAGUCUGAUGUGAAAGCCCUGGGCUUAACCUGGGAAGCGCAUUGGAAACUGUGUUUCUUGAGUACUGGAGAGGAAGGGGGAAUUCCCGGUGUAGAGGUGAAAUUCGUAGAGAUCGGGAGGAAUACCAGUGGCGUAGGCGCCCUUCUGGACGGUAACUGACGCUGAGACGCGAAAGCGUGGGGAGCAAACAGGAUUAGAAACCCCUGUAGUCC